GUGGGGAAUUUUGCGCAAUGGGCGAAAGCCUGACGCAGCAACGCCGCGUGAGUGAAGAAGGCCUUUGGGUCGUAAAGCUCUUUUCCAGGGGACGAGGCUGACGGUACCUUGGGAAUAAGCACCGGCUAACUCCGUGCCAGCAGCCGCGGUAAUACGGAGGGUGCAAGCGUUGUUCGGAUUUACUGGGCGUAAAGGGCGUGUAGGCGGAUCGGCAAGUCGGGGGUGAAAUCCCUGGGCUCAACCCGGGACGUGCUUUCGAAACUACCGAUCUUGAGUAAGGCAGAGGCAGGUGGAAUUCCAGGUGUAGAGGUGAAAUUCGUAGAGAUCUGGAGGAACACCGGCGGCGAAGGCGGCCUGCUGGGCCUUAACUGACGCUGAGGCGCGAAAGCGUGGGGAGCAAACAGGAUUAGAUACCCGAGUAGUCC
This 425-nucleotide ribosomal RNA is filed under the name uncultured bacterium. RNAcentral describes it as "bacterial SSU rRNA". It matches the Rfam family "Bacterial small subunit ribosomal RNA", at positions 354 to 796 of the family's 1533-position model. The record is from RNAcentral.